AACAUCCCACCCACUCCUUGUCCCCAGAGGACAUUCUGGUUUCAAAUGCUGGCAAUCCAUAUGAAAUAGCAUCUCCGAACAGCUUGUUUUCAUGAAGAAAAGCCACCUGGCCUCCCUGGGGGUAAUGGCAAUGGAAUAAUUCAGGAAAAGAAAAACAGCAACUCCACUGACAGAGAUGAGGGUCGUUUCCUCUUUCCUGCCAGGCUCCAUGGCUGGAAGCACAGCCCUUACCCACCACAUGAGCUUUGUGCAAGUCUAGUGAAAUCAUUGGGAUUGCCCAGAUGCAACCACAGUGAAGACCCUGAAUUUCAGCACUGGGGCUACAAAGCAGGAUGGAGAAGAAAGAAAAUCUAUAGUUGUACUCCCCAAGUCCAAGCUGAGCUGGCAUAGCUGAUGGUUAGAACACCUGUUUGGAGGAAGUGUCAUCUUGAGGGAAAAUAUCAAUUAAUAACUGAAAUACUUGUGAUCUGAGCAAAGUGGCUGUGGUUUAAUUCCCAGAGAAGCAUAGAACUGUUUUCAAAAACUGCCUGGUGCUGUCCAAGUGCAGGGUACUUCCAGGUUUCCACAGCCCAGAGGCCCAUCCACCUGAAGAUGCA
This is a long non-coding RNA of Passer domesticus (house sparrow), 596 nucleotides long. RefSeq lists it as uncharacterized. The transcript is spliced from 3 exons. Lineage: Eukaryota; Metazoa; Chordata; Aves; Passeriformes; Passeridae. The record is from RefSeq and is a predicted model, not a curated record.